CUGUGGACCACCCUGUAAGCAGGGUCCAGGUCUCACUGUGCCUCUGGGGACAGCUCUGUCCUUUGCCUGGCUAUCAGCUCUCCCUGUAAGCAGGGCUGUGGGCCUUUCCCUUUUGCCCCUUGUGGGCAGUGUGACUAGUCAGGCAGGCCGGGCCCUGUAAGGCGGGUGCCGGUCUCAGCCUUCUUGCCCCCUGGGAGCGGAGGAGGAUUUUCCCGUGGAAGGCUGGAGGUGAAGCGGUUUGCGGCAUGGAGCUCCUUUCCAGCCUGGGAACAGUCUUUUUACCCGUGUGAGAGUGUGGAUGACGAGAGAGAGGAGUGCCUGGGAACAAAAGCAUUUAUUUUCUUUAUGUUCUUAAAAUCGCUGCAGCGUACUUUGUUUUCUUCCCAGUGCUGGAAAAGGGGUGAGAUGCGUCCUCGUUGCCUUCUCCUCCCACCUCUUCCCCUAGGGGGUUAAGCACUGCUAUUAAUUCUUGUGCCUUCUGGCCUGGGGGUGCAUUAGGCCACCCCUAAUCACUUUGGAAAAAAGACCUCAGUGUAUCUCAGGGUAGGGGCCCCCUUUUGUUGGGUGACUAGCAUGUUCUUGUGGUCACUCAGUAGCUCGCAUGAAGGGUUACUGCCGUCAUUUUUGAGAGCAGGCUAUGUAUUCCAUCCCCAAGUCCUUGGCGAGACGAGCGCCCUGGCACUUGGCCGGCUGUUUUUCGGCACCCCCACGCCCGGCCUGCAGCCUGUAAGCAGGGUGCAGGUCCCUUUGAUUCUCUACUUCUCGUUCCACUUGGAGAGGCCAGCCAGAGACGAUACCCACGGAUUGCAGGGAAAGUUGCAGGCUUCUGGAAGAUACUGAGUGUGUUGGGACCCCAAGGCUUCCUGACCUUCCUGUAACUUGGGUCCAGGUCUCUGCUCCUCUGCUCUGCUGCUCCUGGCGCUAUUGAGACGGCCUCCCGCGGCACCCUGUAAGCAGGGCUGCGCCCCCACCCCUUCUGGCCGUGGGGGGAAGAGACAUUGUUUAGACCUUUGGCCUCCGUUGGUUCUGUGAUGGGAGCCUGAAGUUGUGGCCCUCUUGUGCUCUGGACACACGGGGCAGCUUUGACCCCUGAUCGAGACCUCCCGAUGCAGCUGUCAGCUGGCAUUCGGGGCUUUGCAGGUUGUCUCCGGGCUUCAUACCCCAGCAGCCAGCUGUGUGCAGGGAGCACCGCCCUGUAAGCAGGGUUGCCGGUGCUUGCGGUCACCGUUCAUGGUGCCGCCCGAGCAGUUCUGUCCGGAGUUCUGGCCCAUCGCACUCUGCUCCUGGCUGGAUGUCAGAGGCCGAACCUGCAGACGUCUGCUCUUCCCACUUUGCACGGACUGACGAUGGAGUGGCAGCAGGUCCAUUCACAGGCUCCAGAAGGAGAAGCAGGGAAAUGGCAGACGAGCAGGAGUUAGCCACCAAGGAGGGAAGAGACCCACGUCAGCCCACCCGGAGGGAAGGUAAAGGAGUUUGAACACAGUGUCUGUCCUCUCUGCAAGUUGCAUCCCCAAGUUGCCGACCUUGUGAUGAACAUGUCGUGGAAGGUUUGGAGCAGUGGGACCCCCUUAUACACAGGAUUCGUGCCUUAGGUCCUCCUGUUGUCAUACACGGGUCCCUGAAGGGCAGCUGGACAAGAGCGAACGGAAGCAGGAAAAGAAGCUGGGGAACAAAU
Alligator mississippiensis (American alligator) is the source of this 1675-nucleotide long non-coding RNA. RefSeq lists it as uncharacterized. Lineage: Eukaryota; Metazoa; Chordata; Crocodylia; Alligatoridae. The transcript has 3 exons. The record is from RefSeq and is a predicted model, not a curated record.